AUGGUCAAAACUUAUAGGCCAGGGUCACUAUCGUCCCUAAGGGGUGAGAUUUGCCAUUUCUUCCUCUCUGUUUACUGUGUCCCUUUCCCUCUUUGCCAGAUUCCAUGUCUAUUCCCUGGAGGCUCCUGGCUGGGACUCUGUGAGUCCUGGCCCUGGCCCUCAUGGCAUCCGUGCUCUCACUGGGGGUUCUCAUGGCAAACCGAUGUUACUCUCUCUACUGCCCACAAAACUGGAUCUGAAACAGAGGGAACUGUUAUUACAUCUCUACAGAAGCCAAGACGUGGCCAGGGAGCCAAACAGCUUGUAAAAACAUGAAUUGCAGCCUUUUGAAGAUAGAAGACAGGGAGGAGUUGAAAGUGUGUCUCUCGUAUUUGAAUUUCUAAUAGUUAUUCUGGAGGUUAAAUAAGGGAGAUCAAGGCUCUGUAUUGGAAUAGUAACAUGACAUUCUCAAUUUUUGACUUCUGACCUUUCCACGGAGUGAUUGAUUUACAAUGGGCUUAUAGUAACACCAAGAAAUUUUUGACACUCCUGAUCUUUCCACUGAGAGGUUGAUUUAUAAUGAGUUCAUAAUACCACCAAGAAGGGCCACUUCCCUGGUGAAAAAAGCGAGUGGAAUCUUGGUCCUUUAUUUGUAAACACUUAAUAAAUACUACUGAAUGACUAACACGGGGACAUUGUAAGAGUCAAUGAGACAGUGAGAAUAGUGACUUAAUUCUCUUGAAUCUUCCCGUACUGAAAUGCUGGGUAUUACAGUAAUAAUUGUGAGGCAGUGAAGAUCCUCUCUUAAAAACGAGGAGUAUAAUGACGGCUGAAGAUUAUUCACAUCAUUGAUAUAACUGCAUCACACCCUGUUUUUAAGUAAGAUUUGUUUGCCUACUACUGUAAUUAGAUUUCCAGCUCCCUCGGGUUGGGAAUAUGAACUUUGUUUCUGUUUUACUCAAGAGCUUAAUAGAGUUCUCUAAACACAAGAGGUGUUCAAUGAAUAGUAGGGAUUCACUGAUGACUGGAGAAUCACUGAGAAGAGUAGCCCGGGUUCCAUUAGUGCAAGGGGUCUGAUAUGACCUUUGGGAACCCAGAGUCAGGCUAAGGGUAGAACUUGAGGAUGAUCCUGGGAAAUAGUACUAAUACAAUCAUUUUUAUUAAGCACUUACUAUUUGUGAAGCCCUUUACUGAGGGCCGGGGUAGGUACAGUGUAACCAGAUUGCCAAAGUCCAUGUCAUAACAUGCGGCUCUACAGUUGGAGAUGGAGUAAAAUCCUCAUAUUUACAGACGAGGGAACUGAGGCACAGAGAAGUUAUGUGACUUGCUCAAAAGUGGACAGCAUCCAGUGGCGGAACCUAGAUUAGAACCUUAGGAUUCCUGACAGCCAACCCCUCUCUUUCAC
Molecule: long non-coding RNA, 1384 nt
Filed under: Ornithorhynchus anatinus (platypus)
Lineage: Eukaryota; Metazoa; Chordata; Mammalia; Monotremata; Ornithorhynchidae
Description: lncRNA (ENSOANG00000038916.1)
Source: RNAcentral